Molecule: ribosomal RNA, 122 nt
Filed under: Photobacterium angustum
Lineage: Bacteria; Pseudomonadati; Pseudomonadota; Gammaproteobacteria; Vibrionales; Vibrionaceae
Also listed under: 3 other names
Description: partial 16S ribosomal RNA
Rfam family: Bacterial small subunit ribosomal RNA
Source: RNAcentral
UUUAAUUGAAGAGUUUGAUCAUGGCUCAGAUUGAACGCUGGCGGCAGGCCUAACACAUGCAAGUCGAGCGGUAACAGAUUGAUAGCUUGCUAUCAAUGCUGACGAGCGGCGGACGGGUGAGU